UACAUAGGUCUAAAAAGCAUAUCAAUAUCAAACACACAUAUUACAGAGGUAAUCAAGCAAUCACACCAGUCAGAGUCAGUACUCCCUUGUUUCACAUAACCAGAACUCCCCCUCAAGGGUUCCUCCAUAGCAAACAAGACAUGUUUACACAUCAGAAGUAUAUGUAGCAGAAGAAAAAAUUCAAAAAAAAUCACUCAAGACACUUCCUUAGUCAAGUUGAUGUCAAAACAUCAAGUUUG
This 239-nucleotide long non-coding RNA is filed under the name Lathyrus oleraceus (garden pea). RNAcentral describes it as "Pisum sativum (pea) long non-coding RNA (PSAT_LNC017669)". Lineage: Eukaryota; Viridiplantae; Streptophyta; Magnoliopsida; Fabales; Fabaceae. The record is from RNAcentral.